RNAcentral lists this unclassified non-coding RNA (350 nucleotides) under fungal sp. RNAcentral's name for it is "partial internal transcribed spacer region". The stretch from base 1 to 46 matches the Rfam family "Eukaryotic small subunit ribosomal RNA", at positions 1786 to 1831 of the family's 1831-position model. The record is from RNAcentral. Lineage: Eukaryota; Fungi.
AAGUCGUAACAAGGUUUCCGUAGGUGAACCUGCGGAAGGAUCAUUGAAGUUAGCAGCUCGCACGGCUCGAUGCUGGCCCCCCGUUUCCGCGGCGGGCACGUGCUCGCCGUGCGGCUUCUUCCACGUCUCCACAUCCACCCCUGUGCACCUUUUUGGCAAAGGCGUCUCCCUCCUCGUGAGGAAAAGCUCUCGGGAAGCUCGUCUCUUCCCUCCGGGCCGGGACGUUUUUUUUCCUUUGCCGUUCACACAUCAGAUGCCUGUUUUCACGCAUGUUUUUUUUUUUAUAUCGGGCUCUCAAGGGAGCUCGAAAAAGUUGAACACAACUUUCAACGACGGAUCUCUUGGCUUUC